UACUUCACAGCCUAGAAGCUAAAAUAUUGGGGUUUGUAGUUGGAUCUGUUCUUGCCGUGACUUUGUGACAUUUGCUUAAAUUCCCUCUCACUUUCAGGUUCUUCAUUUGUCAAGUUGUAGUACCUAUAUUUGAUUUUUUGUAAGGAUUAAAUGUGCUAAUUAGUAGAAAGUAGUGCAAUAUUUGUUCCUUCAAAUUCUGAAAAUGAUAUCACCACCACAGCAUGUCAAAUUGAAGGGAAUUUGAAAUGGUAAGGAUACAACUAGAAGACCACAGUCUGCAGACCAGGAGGAGUGCUCUCAUUAGACACUGGAUCUGCCAGCACCUUAAGCUUGGACUUUCCGGCCUCCAGAACUGUGAGAAACCUGUUCACAAGACAGCGAAAGGAAAAUGCCUACCACUAAGCCUACUCAAGACAUUAAAACAGUCUGAUUCACAAGUCCA
Molecule: long non-coding RNA, 442 nt
Organism: Physeter macrocephalus (sperm whale)
Lineage: Eukaryota; Metazoa; Chordata; Mammalia; Artiodactyla; Physeteridae
Exons: 4
Source: RefSeq, a predicted model, not a curated record